RNAcentral lists this ribosomal RNA (1651 nucleotides) under Myolaimus sp. RGD233. Its description in RNAcentral is "eukaryotic LSU rRNA". It matches the Rfam family "Eukaryotic large subunit ribosomal RNA", at positions 1296 to 2875 of the family's 3401-position model. The record is from RNAcentral. Lineage: Eukaryota; Metazoa; Nematoda; Chromadorea; Rhabditida; Myolaimidae.
GCCGAAUGAACUAGCCAUGAAAAUGGAUGGCGCUAGAUCGGACGACUUAUACCCAACCGUUACAUAGACUUGAGCGUAAGCUGCGCCUGGUCGUAACGAGUAAGAGGGUCGUAGUGAUGAGCGUUGAAGGCUUUGGGCGUAGGCCCAGCUGGAGCCGUCACUAGUGCAGAUCUUGGUGGUAGUAGCAAAUAUUCAAGUGAGAUCCUUGAAGACUGAAGUGGAGAAGGGUUCCACGUGAACAGCAGUUGAAUGUGGGUCAGUCGAUCCUAAGAUACUGGCUAAUGCCUUGUAUCAAUGAGAGUAGUGAAGUUAAAUUCGCUCUCGAUUGUCGAAAGGGAAUGAGGUUAACAUUCCUUAACCUAGACGUGAAGAUAGAUAGUCAAUUGACUAUCUUGCGCGGUAACGCAAACGAACUUGGUGACACUGCACAUAGCCCGAGCUAGAGUUUUCUUUUCUAGUUAAGAGGCGGACUCCAUGGAAACGGUUUAGCCGGAGAUAUGGACGUUGUCCUCGUAUAGCAUCACGGUUCCUGUGGUGUCUCGAGCGUUGUGUGCGGUCCUUGAAAAACCAAGGGAGGCAACUUGAAUUUCACGCUAGAUCGUACCGAUAUCCGCAGCAGGUCUCCAAGGUGAACAGCCUCUAGUCGAUAGAAUAAUGUAGGUAAGGGAAGUCGGCAAAUUAGAUCCGUAACUUCGGGAAAAGGAUUGGCUCUAAGGACUGGGUCGGUCGGGCUGUAACACGAAACAGUGAUGGUCCCGUCGAUGUCUGUUUUGGCUUUCGGGCUAGAACGGGCUAGUGGCGGGAACGUUCUGUGGACUGGUGCAGCUAAUGUGCCCACUCUCGGGUGGAACACUUCGGCCGACACUAAACAGUUAACUUAGAACUGGCACGGACUCGGGGAAUCUGACUGUCUAAUUAAAACAAAGGAGAUAGAUGGCCCUUGCGGGCGUUGACUAUCUCUGAUUUCUGCCCAGUGCUCUGAAUGUUAACUCGAUGAAAUUCGAGUAAGCGCGGGUAAACGGCGGGAGUAACUAUGACUCUCUUAAGGUAGCCAAAUGCCUCGUCAUCUAAUUAGUGACGCGCAUGAAUGGAUUAACGAGAUUCCCACUGUCCCUAUCUACUAUCUAGCGAAACCACAGCCAAGGGAACGGGCUUGGCAAAAACAGCGGGGAAAGAAGACCCUGUUGAGCUUGACUCUAGUCUGACUCUGUGAAGAGUCAUGGAAGGUGUAGCAUAAGUGGGAGCAGCAAUGCGUCCGUGAAAUACCACUACUUUUAUCGAUUCUUUACUUAUUUGGUAAGGCGAGGAUUAAGCCUAACGGCUUCUGAUUCUUGAGUUAAGUCUGGUUACUUGGUGACCGGGCGACUCGCGCCAAAGACAGUGUCAGGCGGGGAGUUUGACUGGGGCGGUACAUCUGUCAAACAGUAACGCAGGUGUCCUAAGGCAAGCUCAGAGAGGACAGAAACCUCUCGUAGAGCAAAAGGGCAAAAGCUCGCUUGAUCUUGAUUUUCAGCACGAAUACAGACCGCGAAAGCGUGGCCUAUCGAUCCUUUUAAAUUAGAGGGUUUCUAAUAAGAGGUGUCGGAAAAGUUACCACAGGGAUAACUGGCUUGUGGCAGCCAAGCGUCCAUAGCGACGUUGCUUUUUGAUC